RNAcentral lists this ribosomal RNA (488 nucleotides) under uncultured bacterium. RNAcentral describes it as "bacterial SSU rRNA". It matches the Rfam family "Bacterial small subunit ribosomal RNA", at positions 30 to 507 of the family's 1533-position model. The record is from RNAcentral.
AUUGAACGCUGGCGGCAGGCCUAACACAUGCAAGUCGAGCGGAAACGAUCCUAGCUUGCUAGGAGGCGUCGAGCGGCGGACGGGUGAGUAACGCGUGAGAAUCUACCCAUGAUGGGGGACAACCCGGGGAAACUCGGGCUAAUACCGCAUACGCCCUACGGGGUAAAGCAGGGGACUUUCGGGCCUUGCGCUGAUGGAUGAGCUCGCGUCGGAUUAGCUUGUUGGUGAGGUAAAGGCUCACCAAGGCGACGAUCCGUAGCUGGUCUGAGAGGAUGAUCAGCCACACCGGGACUGAGACACGGCCCGGACUCCUACGGGAGGGCAGCAGUGGGGAAUCUUGGACAAUGGGGGCAACCCUGAUCCAGCCAUGCCGCGUGUGUGAAGAAGGCCUUCGGGUUGUAAAGCACUUUCAGCAGGGAGGAAGGCUUACCCCUAAUACGGGUGAGUACUUGACGUUACCUGCAGAAGAAGCACCGGCUAAUUUCGUG